Molecule: ribosomal RNA, 209 nt
Filed under: uncultured Thiobacillus sp.
Lineage: Bacteria; Pseudomonadati; Pseudomonadota; Betaproteobacteria; Nitrosomonadales; Thiobacillaceae
Description: partial 16S ribosomal RNA
Rfam family: Bacterial small subunit ribosomal RNA
Source: RNAcentral
UGGGGAUGACGUCAAGUCCUCAUGGCCCUUAUGGGUAGGGCUUCACACGUCAUACAAUGGUCGGUACAGAGGGUUGCCAAGCCGCGAGGUGGAGCCAAUCCCAGAAAGCCGAUCGUAGUCCGGAUUGUUCUCUGCAACUCGAGAGCAUGAAGUCGGAAUCGCUAGUAAUCGCGGAUCAGCAUGCCGCGGUGAAUACGUUCCCGGGUCUU